CGACCUACGGGACGCAGCAGUGGGGAAUCUUCCGCAAUGGGCGCAAGCCUGACGGAGCAAUGCCGCGUGAACGAAGAAGGUCUUCGGAUUGUAAAGCUCUGUCCUUAUCGAAGAGAGGGUAUAGAGUGAAAAAUGAUAUACUAGGACGGCAGAUGAGGAGGAAGCCCCGGCUAACUACGUGCCAGCAGCCGCGGUAAUACGUAGGGGGCGAGCGUUGUCCGGAAUCACUGGGCGUAAAGGGCGCGUAGGCGGUAAUAUAAGUCAGACUUGAAAGGUGGGGGCUCAACCCCUAGAGUGCAACUGGU
Molecule: ribosomal RNA, 305 nt
Filed under: uncultured bacterium
Lineage: Bacteria
Description: bacterial SSU rRNA
Rfam family: Bacterial small subunit ribosomal RNA
Source: RNAcentral